RNAcentral lists this ribosomal RNA (1447 nucleotides) under Salmonella enterica subsp. enterica serovar Muenchen. RNAcentral's name for it is "partial 23S ribosomal RNA". It matches the Rfam family "Bacterial large subunit ribosomal RNA", at positions 1395 to 2824 of the family's 2925-position model. Lineage: Bacteria; Pseudomonadati; Pseudomonadota; Gammaproteobacteria; Enterobacterales; Enterobacteriaceae. The record is from RNAcentral.
GGCGAGGCCGAAAGGCGUAGUCGAUGGGAAACGGGUUAAUAUUCCCGUACUUGGUGUUACUGCGAAGGGGGGACGGAGAAGGCUAUGUUGGCCGGGCGACGGUUGUCCCGGUUUAAGCGUGUAGGUGUGUGUUCCAGGUAAAUCCGGUUCACUUUAACACUGAGGCGUGACGACGAGGCACUACGGUGCUGAAGCAACAAAUGCCCUGCUUCCAGGAAAAGCCUCUAAGCAUCAGGUAACAUCAAAUCGUACCCCAAACCGACACAGGUGGUCAGGUAGAGAAUACCAAGGCGCUUGAGAGAACUCGGGUGAAGGAACUAGGCAAAAUGGUGCCGUAACUUCGGGAGAAGGCACGCUGACACGUAGGUGAAGUGAUUUACUCAUGGAGCUGAAGUCAGUCGAAGAUACCAGCUGGCUGCAACUGUUUAUUAAAAACACAGCACUGUGCAAACACGAAAGUGGACGUAUACGGUGUGACGCCUGCCCGGUGCCGGAAGGUUAAUUGAUGGGGUCAGCGCAAGCGAAGCUCCUGAUCGAAGCCCCGGUAAACGGCGGCCGUAACUAUAACGGUCCUAAGGUAGCGAAAUUCCUUGUCGGGUAAGUUCCGACCUGCACGAAUGGCGUAAUGAUGGCCAGGCUGUCUCCACCCGAGACUCAGUGAAAUUGAACUCGCUGUGAAGAUGCAGUGUACCCGCGGCAAGACGGAAAGACCCCGUGAACCUUUACUAUAGCUUGACACUGAACAUUGAGCCUUGAUGUGUAGGAUAGGUGGGAGGCUUUGAAGUGUGGACGCCAGUCUGCAUGGAGCCGACCUUGAAAUACCACCCUUUAAUGUUUGAUGUUCUAACGUGGACCCGUUACCCGGGUUGCGGACAGUGUCUGGUGGGUAGUUUGACUGGGGCGGUCUCCUCCUAAAGAGUAACGGAGGAGCACGAAGGUUGGCUAAUCCUGGUCGGACAUCAGGAGGUUAGUGCAAUGGCAUAAGCCAGCUUGACUGCGAGCGUGACGGCGCGAGCAGGUGCGAAAGCAGGUCAUAGUGAUCCGGUGGUUCUGAAUGGAAGGGCCAUCGCUCAACGGAUAAAAGGUACUCCGGGGAUAACAGGCUGAUACCGCCCAAGAGUUCAUAUCGACGGCGGUGUUUGGCACCUCGAUGUCGGCUCAUCACAUCCUGGGGCUGAAGUAGGUCCCAAGGGUAUGGCUGUUCGCCAUUUAAAGUGGUACGCGAGCUGGGUUUAGAACGUCGUGAGACAGUUCGGUCCCUAUCUGCCGUGGGCGCUGGAGAACUGAGGGGGGCUGCUCCUAGUACGAGAGGACCGGAGUGGACGCAUCACUGGUGUUCGGGUUGUCAUGCCAAUGGCACUGCCCGGUAGCUAAAUGCGGAAGAGAUAAGUGCUGAAAGCAUCUAAGCACGAAACUUGCCCCGAGAUGAGUUCUCCCUGAGACUUUA